RNAcentral lists this ribosomal RNA (497 nucleotides) under uncultured bacterium. Its description in RNAcentral is "partial 16S ribosomal RNA". It matches the Rfam family "Bacterial small subunit ribosomal RNA", at positions 28 to 507 of the family's 1533-position model. The record is from RNAcentral.
GAUGAACGCUGGCGGCGUGCCUAAUACAUGCAAGUCGAGCGAACAGACGAGGAGCUUGCUCCUCUGACGUUAGCGGCGGACGGGUGAGUAACACGUGGAUAACCUACCUAUAAGACUGGGAUAACUUCGGGAAACCGGAGCUAAUACCGGAUAAUAUAUUGAACCGCAUGGUUCAAUAGUGAAAGACGGUUUUGCUGUCACUUAUAGAUGGAUCCGCGCCGCAUUAGCUAGUUGGUAAGGUAACGGCUUACCAAGGCGACGAUGCGUAGCCGACCUGAGAGGGUGAUCGGCCACACUGGAACUGAAACACGGACCAGACUCCUACGGGAGGCAGCAGUAGGGAAUCUUCCGCAAUGGGCGAAAGCCUGACGGAGCAACGCCGCGUGAGUGAUGAAGGUCUUCGGAUCGUAAAACUCUGUUAUUAGGGAAGAACAAAUGUGUAAGUAACUAUGCACGUCUUGACGGUACCUAAUCAGAAAGCCACGGCUAACUACGUG